This 292-nucleotide ribosomal RNA is filed under the name Opitutia bacterium. Its description in RNAcentral is "partial 23S ribosomal RNA". It matches the Rfam family "Bacterial large subunit ribosomal RNA", at positions 2625 to 2912 of the family's 2925-position model. The record is from RNAcentral. Lineage: Bacteria; Pseudomonadati; Verrucomicrobiota; Opitutia.
GACAGUUCGGUCCUCUAUCCGCUGUGGGCGUUGGAGAUUUGAGGGGUUCAUUCCUUAGUACGAGAGGACCGGGAAUGACGUGCCUCUGGUGUUCCGGUUGUCGUGUCAACGGCACCGCCGGGUAGCUAAGCACGGACUAGAUAAGCGCUGAAAGCAUCUAAGCGCCAAGCUAUUCCCAAGAUAAGAUCUCCUUUGGUCUUCGGACCAUGAAGGAACCUGGAAGACUACCAGGUCGAUAGGUCGGAUGUGUAAGUGCAGCAAUGCGUUAAGCUAACCGAUACUAAUGAUCCGA